GGGGCGAUCGGGUUGAACCUCCUUACCGAACGAUAUUGAAAUGUGCAGUGUCCACACAGAUUGUCUGAUGAAAAAGUAACAAGCAGAGAAACCUUUAUAGGCUUGUAGCUCAGGUGGUUAGAGCGCACCCCUGAUAAGGGUGAGGUCGGUGGUUCAAGUCCACUCAGGCCUACCAAAUUCGUUGCCUGAUGAGUUGCUGCCAAGUUCGGUUGCCCCCAUCAACUUCACAUGUAUCCCGCUUGCCUGAAACGGAAGUGGCUUAGGUUCGAAUCCACGAGGGGACAAGAUUGGGAUCUGUCUGAAAGAUUGGUCGAGGACUCUCUUGGGAAAGCGCCUGACUUGCCCGGUGGAGGAAAGGGGUUCUAACCCUCUUGGAUGGAGCUAAAAAAAACUAUAUUAAUAAGGCGAAAAAUUAUUACAAAGACCCUAUGAUGCCCCCAAUUUAGAACUUAAACAAUCCUUGAAUUGAUUGAUUAUUGAAAAAAUCUUCAAUCAUUCUGAUUAUUUGCAAAGUCUCCCUGAAUCAAAUCUCUAUGACUGAAACAUCUUCUUUUUGCGAGGCUAAUCCACCAAGUUUGUCUUUGGAUCCCCCGCUGCCU
RNAcentral lists this unclassified non-coding RNA (599 nucleotides) under Gibbsiella quercinecans. RNAcentral's name for it is "partial may contain 16S ribosomal RNA, 16S-23S ribosomal RNA intergenic spacer, and 23S ribosomal RNA". The stretch from base 99 to 172 matches the Rfam family "tRNA". The record is from RNAcentral. Lineage: Bacteria; Pseudomonadati; Pseudomonadota; Gammaproteobacteria; Enterobacterales; Yersiniaceae. RNAcentral also lists the same sequence under 1 other name.